UUUUAUUUGGAUAUUUUAAUAAAAAAAUUGUAUAUUUGAAUUAAAAAAAAACAAAAUAGUUGAAACAAAAAGAUUUAAUAGCUUAUUAAACAAACAUAAGUUGAUCAGUUUGAAAAAGGUAUAGUUUUAAUUUGUUUAAGAUUGAAGCCUAAUAUAUGUAUAUAUUAUUUAUUUCUAAUGCCAGAAAUUCUAAAAUACAUUUUGUUCACAGUAAAAUGUCAUAAACUUAAAAAUUGUUUAAAAUGUAUGUUUUUAAAAUGUUUUACAUGUUUCAGAUGUUCCUUCAGAGUUGAAGAUAGCUUUGUUUCCUAGUCCAAACCUCCCGCAGGACAACGGGGGAUGGAAGCAAGCAGGGCUUGAACCCGGGACCAUCGAUAAAUCCAAAUGACAGUCCAGCGUGCAUACCGCACGACCAGGCAGCCAUCCAUUUUUAAUAACAUUAUUUAGAAAAUAAAUAAAUAUAGACUUACUAUUUUUUAAAAAGUUAUACAAUUAUUGGAAUGAAAAAAGAAAAGAAAAUUUUUUGAGGUAAUAAUAAAACUCGGAUGAAAUGUUUUUUAAAUAGUAUUUUUAAGCACAAAACAUAAAUAUAUAUAUAUAUAUAUAUAUAUG
Non-coding RNA from Biomphalaria pfeifferi, 612 nucleotides. The record is from the annotation of a GenBank genome assembly. Lineage: Eukaryota; Metazoa; Mollusca; Gastropoda; Planorbidae.